AGUUGUCAUUUCUAUAGAUUAUACAUUCUGAUUCUAUAGCAGACUUGUGUAAUGUGAACAGUAAAAAUUGCAUAUGAAACGUAUUUUAUUUAUGCUGAAAAAUGAUACAGAAGUCAUUAACUGUGUGGCAAAUGAUGCAAAGCAGCUCACGCAUUGGUCAAAGGUUUCUAUCUUCUAACACGACUGCCGUUGUAAAAGUGCACAGGAGCGUUUACGCAAGACGUUACCCGACGAUGAUGGUACUUCCAAAUGGUGCUACAAUCAACAUUACUUACCACGAACCGCGAAGGAUUAUCAAACUGCCACUUGAUUUAAGUCUUUUGUCGGAAACCGACAGAAAAUCACGGUUGGAAAAGAGGAAACCAAAACAAGUUCUACGCGUCGAAGAUGAAGUAGAGGACAAUUUCAAUGCAAGAAAGUAUAUAAAACUCAUCAAAAAAUAAAACCAACAGUUGUGUUACUAUUCUGUAGUGCCACAAAAAUGACCCAAGCAGUCUAAUAAAUAAUCGCCUAAAUAUCUACAACAUGGGAUUACUGUGCAAGUAACGCACAUAAUAGUCUUUAAUUGCGAUAAAUAUUUUUGAUAUAUAAAUAAAAGGGUAAAAACUAAACUUUCACACGUUACAUAAAACAAAAUUUUACAAUCAUAUUUGGCUUUGACGCAAAAAAGCCAACUAACAAUAGUAUUUACCGCGAUCGUUCUAAACAUGACUGUAGUCAUUUAAAGCGUUCAAAGUGUUCGAUCAGUUUCUGACAUAGGGUCACACUAAAUUUUGUAGAAAGGGCUUUGCUUAUACGAUCGGUGUUUUCCAGCUUGCGUACUACUUUUGCAUUCAUCGAAAACUGUCCGUUACUGCUACCGAAAGUGGCUUCGUUCGAGCGUUUCACGAUCAGCAUCACUUCGCACGGCUCCAGCUAUCAAGUUGUUGGUAUUACUGAAGUACAGUACGAAUGCAAGCUGCACCAGAUAGUAAUCUACAUUGCGCAAAAAAUAAUCUUCGAGCAUUUCUAGUGAAAUAUUGUGUUUGAUGAAAAACAUGAAUAGUUCAUAGAUAAAAUACUUGAAAUUGGCAGUGUCCAUUGGGACGAUGUUAGAGUCCUUGGUGAAAUAUUCGAAUAUUUUAACUACAUUCAUAGUCGUUUUGGUUACAGACAUUGGCGACGCAGACGAUGAGAGUGAUCCUGACAAGAGUUCUAGAAUUAAAUGAAAAGCUUCCACAAAGUCAUAAUUUAACACCAUCAUGCGUAUGUGGUACUCAUUGCAGCGGUUAGUCAUUUCAAGUAUGUUUUCUUGACUGUACAACCCGUGGAA
Molecule: RNA transcript, 1312 nt
Organism: Wyeomyia smithii (pitcher-plant mosquito)
Lineage: Eukaryota; Metazoa; Arthropoda; Insecta; Diptera; Culicidae
Gene: mRpL55
Gene name: 39S ribosomal protein L55, mitochondrial
Exons: 4
Source: RefSeq, a predicted model, not a curated record